GUGUAGAAUGAAGUGAAGCCAUUAGGUGGAACAGCGAAAAGCUCAGUAAUACAAUCAUUAUUUGGUCUACAAGAUAUAGAAUAACCUUGAUAAAUUAAGGCUAAAGCUAUUGUAGAAUAAGAGAUUGACCUAUCAGCUAGUAUGUAGGGUAAGGGCCUACGUAGGCGAUGACGGGUAACGGGGAAUUAGGGUUCUAUUCCGGAGAAGGAGGCUGAGAGAUGGCUACUAGGUCUAAGGAGAGCAGCAGGCGCGAAACUUACCCAAUGCUAUUUAGUAGUGUAGAGUGUAGUGAAUAUUUUAAUGGAGAGGCUAGUAAAGCAACCAUUGUAAUUCCAGCAAAUCUAUUACGAGUAUUGCUGCAAUUAAAAAGUUCGUAGUUGAUUAUUGUAAUAAUCUUGUGAUAAGUAUUAAAUUAUGAUUAAUGAAAGCCAUGGAAGGAAAUAGGAUUAAAUAGGGAGGGGUGAAAUCUGUAGAUCUAUUUAGGACUAACUGAAGCGAAAGCGAUUUUCUAUGUGGUAUUUGACAAUCAAGAACGAAAGCCGGAGUAUCGAAGACGAUUAGAGACCGUCGUAGUUCCGCGCAGUAAACUAUGUUAUAUUAUUUGUAGUNUAUAUGAGUAUAUAUUAUGGAUAUAUAGAAAUUAAGAUAUUAUGAACUUUGGGGAUAGUACGAACGCAAGUUUUAAACUUAAAUGAA
Molecule: ribosomal RNA, 696 nt
Filed under: Astathelohania contejeani
Lineage: Eukaryota; Fungi; Microsporidia; Astathelohaniidae
Description: bacterial SSU rRNA
Rfam family: Microsporidia small subunit ribosomal RNA
Source: RNAcentral